AUGAGGAAUCUUCCACAAUGGGCGAAAGCCUGAUGGAGCAACGCCGCGUGAAGGAUGAAGGUCUUCGGAUUGUAAACUUCUUUUAUGAGUGAAGAAUAUGACGGUAACUCAUGAAUAAGCACCGGCUAACUACGUGCCAGCAGCCGCGGUCAUACGUAGGGUGCAAGCAUUAUCCGGAGUGACUGGGCGUAAAGAGUUGCGUAGGCGGUUAUGUAAGCGAAUAGUGAAACCUGGUGGCUCAACCACACAGACUAUUAUUCGAACUGCAUAACUCGAGAAUGGUAGAGGUAACUGGAAUUUCUUGUGUAGGAGUGAAAUCCGUAGAUAUAAGAAGGAACACCAAUGGCGUAGGCAGGUUACUGGGCCAUUUCUGACGCUAAGGCACGAAAGCGUGGGGAGCGAACCGGAUUAGAAACCCCAGUAGUCC
Molecule: ribosomal RNA, 427 nt
Filed under: uncultured bacterium
Lineage: Bacteria
Description: partial 16S ribosomal RNA
Rfam family: Bacterial small subunit ribosomal RNA
Source: RNAcentral